This 254-nucleotide ribosomal RNA is filed under the name uncultured bacterium. RNAcentral's name for it is "partial 16S ribosomal RNA". It matches the Rfam family "Bacterial small subunit ribosomal RNA", at positions 524 to 776 of the family's 1533-position model. The record is from RNAcentral.
UACAGAGGGUGCAAGCCUUGUCCGGAUUUAUUGGGCGUAAAGCGUUUCGGCGGCGGAUUUGCACGUUAUUCUUCAAAGACCAGGGCUCAACCUUGGGAAGGGGAAUAAUACUACAAGUCUUGAAAGUUAUCGGGGUUUUCGGAACUUGCGGUGUAGGGGUGAAAUCCGUUGAUAUCGCAAGGAACACCAAGGGCGAAGGCAGAAAACUAGGUAAAUUUUGACGCUGAGGAACGACAGCUAGGGGAGCGAAAGGG